CAUCUUCAGGGCGGGGUGAAAGUCCCCACCGGCGGUGAUGGCAGCAGCCUUAAGUCCGCGACCGCGCAAGCGUUGAACCGGUGCAAAUCCGGUACCGACAGUUACAGUCUGGAUGGGAGAAGAUG
This 125-nucleotide non-coding RNA is filed under the name human gut metagenome. Its description in RNAcentral is "FMN riboswitch (RFN element)". It matches the Rfam family "FMN riboswitch aptamer (RFN element)". Rfam says of the family: The RFN element is a highly conserved domain that is found frequently in the 5'-untranslated regions of prokaryotic mRNAs that encode for flavin mononucleotide (FMN) biosynthesis and transport proteins. This element is a metabolite-dependent riboswitch that directly binds FMN in the absence of proteins. The record is from RNAcentral.